Lolium perenne is the source of this 648-nucleotide long non-coding RNA. RefSeq lists it as uncharacterized. The record is from RefSeq and is a predicted model, not a curated record. NCBI's taxonomy places the organism in Eukaryota, Viridiplantae, Streptophyta, Magnoliopsida, Poales, Poaceae.
GGUCUCAUCCUUAAAUUCGUUACAUAUUUUGCUAGGUAAAUAAAGUUCUGUAAACAUGCAGAAUCACUGUUUGUUAGAUUUGUUCCGUUUUACAAAACCUUUUUGAGCAAACUCAACUGUGGGUGAAAGCCCUCUUCAGUUCCUUCAUUUUGGCGUUGGUUUCACUUCAAAUGACCUCCUGAAAUUGAAAUGGUUCACAGAUCAAGAUCUGGUCAGAUCUGACUUUGUCGAAUUAAACCAGGAGAUUGGAAACAAAUUUUCGGAUGAAACAAGUUGGGGGGUACUUAGCUUGUGCCAUGGUGAUACCGAGAGAGGCAAUUGCUAAGUUGUGAUACUCUCAUACCUUUACUAGAUGCGAACAAUUCCGGAGAAGAAGAAGAAGUGGAAUCGGACGAGGAUUUUAUUUAUGAUUGUUGGCAUUCUUAUAUUGAUGGAGUUGAAGAAGUCCAGGGACAAAUAAGCCAAGGCAAGCCAUCUUUUGAUCUCUGACUUGGUGUCUAGUUGGAUGUCAUUUGUUGAUGUCCAAAGCACCUUAAUUCUAUGUGUGUUAUUCUCUCUAUUUAUGUCAUCUAUGUGUGAUUGCAAGUGGGGUACUCCCUAGUGGUGAUACUCCACUAUUGUCCUUGUGUUAUGGGAUGCAUGAUAUUA